RNAcentral lists this transfer RNA (85 nucleotides) under Betaproteobacteria bacterium CG2_30_68_42. RNAcentral describes it as "tRNA-Leu". It matches the Rfam family "tRNA". Rfam says of the family: Transfer RNA (tRNA) molecules are approximately 80 nucleotides in length. Their secondary structure includes four short double-helical elements and three loops (D, anti-codon, and T loops). RNAcentral also lists the same sequence under 4 other names. Lineage: Bacteria; Pseudomonadati; Pseudomonadota; Betaproteobacteria. The record is from RNAcentral.
GCGAAGGUGGCGGAAUUGGCAGACGCACCGGAUUUAGGUUCCGGCGCCUCACGGCAUGCGGGUUCGAGUCCCGCCCUUCGCACCA